This 1657-nucleotide ribosomal RNA is filed under the name Aphelenchoides sp. 18Asp. Its description in RNAcentral is "SSU rRNA". It matches the Rfam family "Eukaryotic small subunit ribosomal RNA". The record is from RNAcentral. Lineage: Eukaryota; Metazoa; Nematoda; Chromadorea; Rhabditida; Aphelenchoididae.
CCAGCAUGGUAAGUAGAGUUGAUAUAAAGCGAAACUGCGAACGGCUCAUUACAACAGAUAUAAUCUACUUGUUCUAUUCUUUAAACGGAUAACUGCGGUAAUUCUGGAGCCAAUACGUGCUAAAAGCCUAAUUCAGCAAUGAGUUGGGUGCACUUAUCGGAGCAAAAUCAAUCUUGAUUCAUGCUAACUCUAGAUAACUAAGCUUAUCGCAUGACCUUGUGUCGGCGAAAUUACAUUCGAGUAUCUGCCUUAUCAACUAUCGUUGGUAGUGUAUUGGACUACCAUGGUGUUGACGGGUAACGGAGAAUCAGGGUUCGACUCCGGAGAGGGAGCCUUAGAAACGGCUACCAUGUCUAAGGACAGCAGCAGGCGCGCAACUUAUCCACUGUUCAUUGAACGAGAUAGUGACGAGAAAUAACAAGCUCGUUCUCUUUGAGGUCGAGCAUUGGAAUGGAUGAAAUCUAAACAAUUUCAUGAGUACCCACGAGAGGGCAAGUCUGGUGCCAGCAGCCGCGGUAAUUCCAGCUCUCGUAAUGUAUAGAAUUAUUGUUGCGGUUAAAAAGUUCGUAGUUGGAUUUAUACUGCAAGCAGGUAAUUUUUAACGAAAUUCACUUGCUACAGUGUUGCAUGUAAAGGGCUUGCUCUUCGCAUGUAGAUUACUUUGAACGGCUUAAGUGCUCAAGGCGAGUCUUCGGACUGAAUACCGGUGCAUGGAAUAAUGGAACAAGGUUUCGGCCGAGUUUUAUUGGUUUUGUCGGCUAAAACAAUGGUUAACAGGAACAGCUGGGGGCACUCGUAUUGCUGCGCGAGAGGUGAAAUUCGUGGACCGCAGCAAGACGCCCAAAAGCGAAGGCAUUUGCCAAGAGUGUUUUCAUUAAUCAAGAACGAAAGUCAGAGGUUCGAAGGCGAUUAGAUACCGCCCUAGUUCUGACCGUAAACGAUGCCAACUAUCAAUCCGCCAGUGGCUUUCAGUCAUUGGCGGGCGGAUCGACGGAAACGAAAGUUUUUCGGUUCCGGGGGAAGUAUGGUUGCAAAGCUGAAACUUAAAGGAAUUGACGGAAGGGCACCACCAGGAGUGGAGCUUGCGGCUUAAUUUGACUCAACACGGGAAACCUCACCCGGCCAGUACAUCAUAAGGAUUGACAGAUUGAAAGCUCUUUCAUGAUUUGAUGAAUGGUGGUGCAUGGCCGUUCUUAGUUCGUGGCGUGAGUCGUCUGCUUAAUUGCGAUAACGAGCGAGACUCCAACUGCUAAAUACACUAACGAUUUUUUUUGUCGUUAUGGGUUCUUACCUGGAUUCCCGGCUUCAAGUCGCAAAAAAUGAAGCAAUAACAGGUCUGUGAUGCCCUUAAAUGUUCGGGGCGGCACGCGGGCUACAAUGAUGACAACAGCAUGCUUGUGCUCAACCGACAGGCCUUGCCAAACAUUUGAAAUGUUAUUAUGGCUGGAAUUGAGGGUUGAAACUUUCUCUCAUGAACAAGGAAUUCCAAGUAAAUGCAAGUCAUCAACUUGCAUUGAUUACGUCCCUGCCCUUUGUACACACCGCCCGUCGCUACCCGGGACUGAGUUGUUUCAAGAAAUCUACGGACUGCUGGAGUUAAGGCAACUUCGCUUCAAGUGGAAAGUAAAUUAAUCGCAAUGGCUUGAACCGGGUAAAA